RNAcentral lists this ribosomal RNA (405 nucleotides) under uncultured bacterium. RNAcentral describes it as "partial 16S ribosomal RNA". It matches the Rfam family "Bacterial small subunit ribosomal RNA", at positions 30 to 526 of the family's 1533-position model. The record is from RNAcentral.
AUUGAACGCUGGCGGCAGGCUUAACACAUGCAAGUCGAACGAGUGGAGGACGGGUGAGUAAUGCUUGGGCAUCUAGCUUAUGGAGGGGGCUAACUACGGGAAACUGUAGCUAAUACCGCGUACGAUAGGAUGAGCAGAAGGGGGAUUGGGUAGGUGGUGAGGUAAAGGCUCACCAAGCCGAGGAUCUCUAGCUGGUCUGAGAGGAUGACCAGCCACACUGGGACUGAGACACGGCCCAGACUCCUACGGGAGGCAGCAGUGGGGAAUAUUCCGCAAUGGGGGCAACCUGACGCAGCAAUGCCGCGUGAAUGAAGAAGGCCUUCGGGUUGUAAAGUUCUUUCGGUAGCGAGGCGUUAACUACAGAAGAAGCAACGGCUAACUCCGUGCCAGCAGCCGCGGUAAUUC